GCUCUUUUCUUUAGGGUCGUGUGUAUAAUGCCAAUAUUUUAACUAAUAAUAGGUAAACUGAUAAAAGUUAAAAUUAACUUGUUAGAAGCCUAUUUUUAAUAUAAUUCGUAGAUAAGUCAUCUAAUAAAAUAGAUACUAUUACUACACAGGUGAUUCAUAUAUCUAUGCUACCUUGAAUAACAUAAAUCAACUUUUUAGUUUAAAGUUUAGCUUUUAUUUGUAAGAAAGGUUACAUAAAGGAAAACUAAGGAUCUCAUUGGAUGCAGAAGUGAGGCCUAUAUAUUGGCUACCUCCAGGAAAUAGUUCAAACCUUCAACACACAGUAAAGCCUGUGAGCAUAAUUUUGGAACAGUUUUUUCUGGUAGUUGAGGAUCAUAGGAAGGACAUUAAAGCUUGAAGCAUUCAGAGCCUAGGAAGUAUUAUUAAACUU
Limulus polyphemus (Atlantic horseshoe crab) is the source of this 430-nucleotide long non-coding RNA. RefSeq lists it as uncharacterized. NCBI's taxonomy places the organism in Eukaryota, Metazoa, Arthropoda, Merostomata, Xiphosura, Limulidae. The transcript is spliced from 3 exons. The record is from RefSeq and is a predicted model, not a curated record.